This 468-nucleotide ribosomal RNA is filed under the name uncultured bacterium. RNAcentral's name for it is "partial 16S ribosomal RNA". It matches the Rfam family "Bacterial small subunit ribosomal RNA", at positions 28 to 507 of the family's 1533-position model. The record is from RNAcentral.
GACGAACGCUGGCGGCGUGCUUAACACAUGCAAGUCGAACGGACAGGCCCUGCUUUUGUGGGGUGCUCGUGUGGCGAACGGGUGAGUAAAACGUGAGUAACCUGCCCUUGACUUUGGGAUAACUUCAGGAAACUGGGGCUCAUACCGGAUAGGAGCUCUUGCUGCAUGGUGGGGGAUGGAAAGUUUCGGCGGUUGGGGCUGGACUCGCGGGUUCUGCGCUUGUUGGUGGGGUAGUGACAGACGAAGGCUGUGACGGGUAGCCGGCCUGAGAGGGGGACCGGCCACAUUGGUACUGAGGGACGGACCAGACGCCUACGGGAGGCAGCAGGGGGAAAUAUGGCGCAACAGGCGGAAGCCAGAGACAGCGACGCCGGGUUCGUGAUGACGUCCUUCGGGGGGUAAACAUCUUUCGCCGGAGACGAAGAGUGAUUGACGGUAAUGAGUAAAGAAGCACCGGCUAACUACGUG